This is a long non-coding RNA of Cyprinus carpio (common carp), 457 nucleotides long. RefSeq lists it as uncharacterized. The transcript is spliced from 3 exons. The record is from RefSeq and is a predicted model, not a curated record. NCBI's taxonomy places the organism in Eukaryota, Metazoa, Chordata, Actinopteri, Cypriniformes, Cyprinidae.
UCACAGGCUAUAAAAAGGUAAAUUAUGUGCUACCUGGGAUACGUCACCUGUUGAAUUGUUGCGUCGGUAACGCGUUUCCGUCACUUCCGCACUUCCGUCCCUCCUUGGCGCUAGCAAACAUCAAGGUUGUAAUUAGUUUGGAACGUCUGUUUCGAUUCAGUGAUUGCUGCCGUGCGGCUAUGUAAACAAGCCGUGCGUAGACUUUAAUGACGCUGUGAGACCCAAUGCAGUCGCUGUGAUUUUGUUAAUUCCUACCCUGGCCUUGGCUGUAAGAGUCCUGUCGUGUGUGUUAUUCAAAUCUCCUUGACGAUUGGUUUGGGGAAGCCAGUAGCUGCUUUUCAUUUGAGGCACUCGUGUCUUUUUACAGCUGCAUUGCUGUCCUGUUUCCAGAAACUAUUUUUUUUUUUUUUUUUUUUUGUUCCCAAAUAAUACUUUGGGUUUCUAAUAUUAUUUUCUU